UACGGAGGAUGCAAGCGUUAUCCGGAUUUAUUGGGUUUAAAGGGUGCGUAGGCGGGAAAAUAAGUCAGUGGUGAAAUCCUACAGCUUAACUGUAGAAUUGCCGUUGAUACUGUUUUCCUUGAGCAUGGUCAAGGAAGGCGGAAUGUGUAAUGUAGCGGUGAAAUGCUUAAAUAUUACACAGAACACCAAUUGCGAAGGCAGCUUUCUGGCCCAUUACUGACGCUGAGGCACGAAAGCGUGGGGAGUCGAACAGGAUUAGAUACCCUGGUA
This 270-nucleotide ribosomal RNA is filed under the name uncultured prokaryote. Its description in RNAcentral is "partial 16S ribosomal RNA". It matches the Rfam family "Bacterial small subunit ribosomal RNA", at positions 524 to 792 of the family's 1533-position model. The record is from RNAcentral.